This 1006-nucleotide ribosomal RNA is filed under the name Tetraploa yunnanensis. RNAcentral describes it as "SSU rRNA". It matches the Rfam family "Eukaryotic small subunit ribosomal RNA", at positions 85 to 1096 of the family's 1831-position model. Lineage: Eukaryota; Fungi; Ascomycota; Dothideomycetes; Pleosporales; Tetraplosphaeriaceae. The record is from RNAcentral.
AACUGCGAAUGGCUCAUUAAAUCAGUUAUCGUUUAUUUGAUAGUACCUACCAACUACUUGGAUAACCGUGGUAAUUCUAGAGCUAAUACAUGCUAAAAACCCCGACUUCGGGAGGGGUGUAUUUAUUAGAUAAAAAACCAAUGCCCCUCGGGGCUUCUUGGUGAUUCAUGAUAACUUAACGGAUCGCAUGGCCUUGCGCCGGCGACGGUUCAUUCAAAUUUCUGCCCUAUCAACUUUCGAUGGUAAGGUAUUGGCUUACCAUGGUUUCAACGGGUAACGGGGAAUUAGGGUUCGAUUCCGGAGAGGGAGCCUGAGAAACGGCUACCACAUCCAAGGAAGGCAGCAGGCGCGCAAAUUACCCAAUCCCGACACGGGGAGGUAGUGACAAUAAAUACUGAUACAGGGCUCUUUUGGGUCUUGUAAUCGGAAUGAGUACAAUUUAAACCCCUUAACGAGGAACAAUUGGAGGGCAAGUCUGGUGCCAGCAGCCGCGGUAAUUCCAGCUCCAAUAGCGUAUAUUAAAGUUGUUGCAGUUAAAAAGCUCGUAGUUGAACCUUGGGCCUGGCUGGCCGGUCCGCCUCACCGCGUGUACUGGUCCGGCCGGGCCUUUCCUUCUGGAGAACCGCAUGCCCUUCACUGGGUGUGUCGGGGAACCAGGACUUUUACUUUGAAAAAAUUAGAGUGUUCAAAGCAGGCCUUUGCUCGAAUACGUUAGCAUGGAAUAAUAGAAUAGGACGUGCGGUCCUAUUUUGUUGGUUUCUAGGACCGCCGUAAUGAUUAAUAGGGAUAGUCGGGGGCAUCAGUAUUCAAUUGUCAGAGGUGAAAUUCUUGGAUUUAUUGAAGACUAACUACUGCGAAAGCAUUUGCCAAGGAUGUUUUCAUUAAUCAGUGAACGAAAGUUAGGGGAUCGAAGACGAUCAGAUACCGUCGUAGUCUUAACCGUAAACUAUGCCGACUAGGGAUCGGGCGAUGUUUCUAUCUUGACUCGCUCGGCACCUUACGAGAA